UUGGAUACAGAGAUGACAGAGAAUCAGUUUUCCUUAAGCACGAUUUCAGGUGUUAUACCUCAAACCUUAUUUGGAUUAUCUAACUAGUUUGUGAUUAUGUAAGUAAAACCGAGCUUCCUAUAAAUCCAAAAAUCCAAUUUUCAGAAAAACAACUAUUUUUGUGUGUGUAAACGUGUUUUCUGUACACUGGAUUGCAACGGGACUGCGGCAGGUCCUAGCAAGAAACCAUAUAUAUAUUUACCUUAACAGAAAAACUAACCAAAAAAUGAUUUACCUAAAAAUUCUCUAAAAGAAUGCUCUAGAAAGACUCAUGUCUAAUUCUUGGUUCCCAAACAACCGUGAGGCUUCAGGACUAAAAACACCGAGCUCCUCUGUAUCUGAAGAAUCUCAUUUAAUCUGUUCACACUGCACUUUGAAAUUGAUAAAAUUCGAACUGUCAUUUGCAAAUAAUAGAUGACUAACCCAAGGUGAGCAUGCACUUGCCGAGAUACAUCUGUCCACAUACGCACCUCCAAAGUUGUUUAACAAGGAAGUAGAGUCUUCAACAUAUAUGAGAAGUAAAUGCGGUGGCAUGGGAUCCCUCUUUUUUUCUGACUGGGACAGUAGGAGCUCUGCAUUUUCAUUUCAGUAGGGAAAACUGUACAAGACUGAAGCAAAACAGCUGAGGAAACAAGAGAAAAACUAAAUCCAAAUCUGUGCAAACAAUUCAAUUGCAAUGGGGCUGCAACAUGAUUGCAAUGUUCACUUGUGUAGAAAAAAAGUGUUCUCUGUAAACUGGAUUGCAAUGGGGCUGUGACAGGUCCAAACAAGAAACCAUACAUAUUUACCUUACCUGAAAACUAACAAAAAAUGAUUUCCCUAACUAUUAUUUUUCUGAAAACAUGUUAUGCAAAAAAUCAUGUCUAUUUCUCGGUAUUCAAACAACUACGUAGGGUUGCGAGGCAGGACUAAAAACACCAAGCUCCAAAGUUGGAAUGAUAAAAUUCAAAUUGUCAUUUACAUAAGUUGGAAUUGGUCAAACACGUCUAUAUCCGAAGAAUCUUCUCAUGCACUUUGGAAUUAAUAAAAUUCAAAUUGCCAUUAGCAAAUACUCCGUAAUAGAUGAUUAACCAAGGUGUGUGUAUACUUACCCAGAUGCAUGCAUCUGUCCACAUACGCGCCUCCCAAGUUGUUUAACAAGGAAGUAGAUCCUUCAGGACAUAUGAGAAGUAAAUAUGCUGACAUGGGAUCUCCUUGUCAUAUCUCUCUCUCUGUUUCUUUUUACCAGAACAGCAUGAGCUCUGCAUUGUCAUUUCAGUAGGGGAGAAAUUGUACAAGACUGAAGCAAAACAGCCGAAGAAACAAGAGAAAAAGAAGUCAGAAACUAAAUCUGAAACUGUGCAAACAGUUCGGCUAUACACAGGUAGUAACACCCUCACUCCCAUGCCUCCUUGAGGAGGCCAAUAGCUUCUCUAGCCAAAGACAGGACCAUUGCACUGGAGGUCACCGCGGCCUUAUGCUUCAAGUGAUGUAAACCGCCGCUGAGCAUUCGUCUUGCACAACCAAUCACUGAUUGAAACGGCGGCAGUCAGGGCGCCUGAGCAGCAGCCAGAAAACAGCACUGGCCAGGAACCAAGUUUUCUUUGCACAAGGACAAUCCAGAGAAAGGUGGGUGGCCGACGCGAUUGUUUGGUCGCAGUUGGAGCAAACAUCAUGGUUGCAGCAUCUCUGAAUGUAGCGGGUUCAACAAGUUUGGCAGUAAACCAGCAGCACAAGCCACUGCAUCUCCCACAUGAUCUCUCAACACAGCCCCACCAGCCUCCAUUACAUUCGUUUGGUUUGGACGAGCCAUCGAUGUUCAUUUCAAUCCAGCCAGCCGGCGGUGGUUAGAUUGAGCAGAAGGAUCUGGGAGCACCAUGGUGUUUGCUCUAACUUUGACCAAACGAUUAAGUCGGCCUAUCCUCACGUCUCCAUAUCAUGAUCUUAUGGCACUUGAACAUAUUGUCUGAAUAAUUUCUUCAGUGGCGUCAAUGCGAUGUGCGUGUGGUACCUGGUGCAAUGGCUGCUGAUAUGCAUUUUACUCUAGGUGAAAGCACACCAUUACAACCAACCAACUACGCUUUCAGAGCGAGCUUGGUGAUGAGCUCGUUCACAAUGGAGAGAUCGGUUGCAGCUAUGUGCUGCCAUUCACUUGUCACCAUGACCUGUCCCAAGUCUGCAGCAGACUGAACUUUGAGGAACUCCAGGCAGGUCUCCUUCAGCGCGUGGCAAUGGUGCUGAGCAGCUAGACCAAGGAUAGAACGUCACCGAGCUCAUGUCUAUGUGCCCCCAUAGCCUUUCCUCGCACAUCGACUUAAGGCGCUGGAGAUCGUACCUGUCCGCCGCUGCAAGCAAAUGUUGCAGCCACAUAACCUCAUCGGCUCGACCUUCUCCUUCUUCUGCUUCCCCUUCCACCUCCAUCUCGGGCAUCAAAUCGGUGUAGACGAAACUGAGCAAGGCCUUGAACACGUUUGGUUCCAUGUCUUGUAUCUGUAUGGCAAUCCCCUCCUUCAUGGGGCCGAAGAGCUCUGCCAUGAAGAUUGCAGAAUAGCUCCAAGCUCCAGAUGACGAUCACACCCGAAUAGCCAACCCACAGGCCGGAGGCCCUGCAUUAAGAAUCUCUUUCCUGAUAUUUGGGGAUGAGCGAUCCAAAUUUCCAAUGGCACUGGCUUACUACGGCAACAAACUAAAUGUCUAAUUACUAUUUGUUGACAUCCCCUGCAACAAAGACAACAUACAUAUGGCUAGUUCAUAGAUUAAGGGGAUUCCAUACAAGAUUGUCAUCACAUAUAUUUGAUCCUGAAAAGAACUUGAAAAAGACAGUCUUCCUUGGCACUGACCAAAAGUGCGAAGAUGUAUAGAACACAUAGAAGUAUUGAUUGGAAAACAGAGGCAAAAAAUGAGACUGUUUCCAUACAAUUCAAUAGCUUUAUAUAAAACAACAACAACAACAAAGCCUUUAGUCCCAAACAAGUUGGGGUAGGCUAGAGGUGAAACCCAUAAGAUCUCGCAACCAACUCAUGGCUCUGGCACAUGGAUAGCAAGCUUCCACGCACCCCUGCCCAUAGCUAGCUCUUUGUCGAUACUCCAAUCCUUCAGGUCUCUCUUAACGGACUCCUCCCAUGUCAAAAUCGGUCGACCCCGCCCUCUCUUGACAUUCUCCGCACGCUUUAGCCGUCCGCUAUGCACUGGAGCUUCUGGAGGCCUGCGCUGAAUAUGCCCAAACCAUCUCAAACGAUGUUGGACAAGCUUCUCCUCAAUUGGUGCUACCCCAACUCUAUCUCGUAUAUCAUCAUUCUGUGGGCUAACUAGAUGACAGCUCUGUCCAGCUGUAUGCUUGGCAAAGCUAUGAACAUGACUCAGUUUCAGUCGGUAACGCACUCUGAUGUAAAACUGUCAAAUAAAUCAAAAUGAUAUUGCAACCAACUGACCUCUGUCUUAAUAGCGCAGCUUCUUGUUCAUAAAAGCUACUGAAAAUUCAGGGAUGAUGUGUGUGGGACACGGCCAAAAAGGAUUAUAAAUAGCUGGACACAAAUUGCCAAUCCUCGUUACCAAAUAGAUAACGGGAGACUUAAGCAAGCCUUCCAUUAGUUAGAUAAUUCUUCCAUUUAGAUAUCUCAGUCUCCAAAAACAAAUAUGAAAUUCGUUACGUUAUCGAAGAUGAAGUCAUAGAAGGAAUGUGUGCUAGUAAAUUUGAUCAGCUUGGUUACCUGAAACUUACUUGAGAAAUGCAUGUUCCAUUCCUUGUUAAUGUUACAAAAGGUACAAUGCCCAAAUUUGGUUUCAACAAAAGAUCAAAAGAGUGUUAGUAAAGUUUAACUGAACAGUUACACUUGACUAAUAUCUCGAUGAAACUUAACACAAUUGCCAAAAUGAUUAUUUAAUGGAAGGCAGAACUCUAAAACAAAACAAAAAAUUCAAGAGGGUGUACCUUAUUUGUUUUAAAUUCUGCUUCGCUUUCAGCAAAGCGUGCCGGCCCUAUCUCUAAAGCACCAAACUUCCACAUUUUAGGAGAUUAGCUUACCAUGUUUAGUAGCUUGCUUCUCAGCUAUACUCCCCAGCCUUUCAUCAAGACAUUAUUUUCCAAGUCUAGCAUUAUAAUUUGUCGAGUAAGAGACUUCAUUUCAGUUCAGCAGACACUCAUAUCCCUUCCGACUGCAUUAUCAGAUGUCAUGCAUAAUAUUUGCAGAAUAUAGCAGGAAUUAGCUCCAGACAGACAGGAAGCACAAAUCACUCAAAAUAAUCAUUUUAGCUAACAGUGCAUAACAGAAUUAACUAACAGUGAGAUCAUCUAAUAGAUGGACUUUACUCUCAAAAUAUAUGUGUGCAUCUUCAUCACAAUUUGGGAAAGUAGCUAUCCAAACCAAGAUGUUGCAGUCUUAGAGAACUCAUCUCAUACCAGAGUUGGCUCCAGACGCACACGAAGCACAAAUCACUCUGCUACUUCUGCUCUGUCAGCGAACUCCACCCCAUCCCCGGUUUGGCGCCUGCCACAUUGCUUGCAGCCACCACCUGACAAGCACACCAAUCAUGUAAUCCACCUAGCCAGGUGUCCGAAUAACAUGUAAUUCACCACAUGGAUCGGAAUCUGUAUAAUAAAAUCAACUUCAGGCAAGGCCCACCAGCCAGCACAUGAGGACGAACACAAACUCCUUUUUCUUAAAUUUUAUAUACUACUAUACAAAAGAAGAUGAUUAGUUUGGGGUGAACUCCAUCUAAAUUUAUCACUGAAAAUUAUCACAUUCAACGAUUGACCUCAGAUUCUUCAGGGGAAUGGCAGAUCCAUCACAUGACUUCAAGUGGUAGGAAGUAGUGCGUGUUAACAGCUAUGCCCUAUUCAUGGGAUACCUUUCCAUGGCCAUCAGGGGCCUAGGUUUCCUGGCUAUUACCUAGACCACUGUCGUUCUGCUGUUCUCCUUGGAGGUUUCGUCUCCAUGCUGGCUAACAAGGACAUUGGGUGUCUAACAAUCAUUACCCUCCUUCAGACAGCUGGGUCAGUCCUCCUAAUCAUCAAGUCAUAUAUUUGUGAUGCAUAAUUUCUUUCUUUUUGUGGCUCCAUCUUUCUAAGAUGCGUCUGGAUAUGAAGGUUUGUUUAGUAAAUGCACUUGUUAUCCCUUUGUAACGCUGUUUGUGUGAUGUAUAUAUAAUGAACAGGAUCUAUGAUGUCUUUCUGAAUGAAAUGCUGGACUAUACAGAAACUGCUAUCAAGUGUGACAAAUGCUGUUAUGGACAGCUGCCAAGACUAGCCAAGGAAACUCUUGUAUAUACUUCUUCAGCUCUUCCCACUAAAACUAAAGGAGCUUUCAUAGCAGCCCUGGCAGGCAUGAUUGUCGACAACAGGAAAAACAGUUCCAUGGUGACAAUGGCAUGUGAAAACCUCAAGGACCUAUGUAUCCAAUGCACCGAGAAUGCUGAAUGUCUCAAGAAACUGCUGGAAGCCCUACAGUUGUGAUGCUAAAGAUCUUGAGGGAAAUAAAUGCAGAUUUAGAAGGUCCUGAUCCGCGAGAUGUUCAAGAGUGAUCUGUGUACAGGAAAGUGAGCUCUCGGCCACACUACUUGUCUCUCUGUGUGACCAUACGCUAUACGCUGAUCAGUGCGUAUCCACAUCUGGCUCAUCAGUUUGUGCCAAAACGAACGCAUGAGGCACAAGGCAUCGAUCCUGUCAAUACUUUUGCCUGCCUCGUCGAGGAACCUAAGCAGUUUCUGGACGAAAAGGAGCAGCAGAGAUCUGGUGGCCAUUCCACUUACACCCCCAUAGUCGUUGUCACGAAGGGGAAAAUUAUGGGACUGUAGCAGAGGCAGGAGAAUGGGAAGGGUCAACUGGCCACGACAGGUUAAGGCCGAUGCAUCAGUUGGAGGACAAGUAUUCUGGAGGGGUAUGCUGCUUCAGUUUCUGCGGCUUCAAAAACGAGAUCAAGGCAGGCUGAGGCUGAUCCAGCACAAUAAUUCACCUCUGUCAUGCCUAGUAUGUUUCUACUUAUUCUAAUUAAAACAGUGUAUUUCAGUGUCUACUACUGCCAGGCCAUGAACGACGUAAACUGGAGUAUAUUAUGUGUGCGUUCCCAAAAAAUGUGGUCACUGCUACUAGGAUUUCCCGUUCAACUAACGAUGUCAUGGAGACACAGAUGAUCCGGCAGAUUAGACAGACCAUCCUCA
Molecule: long non-coding RNA, 6174 nt
Organism: Triticum aestivum (bread wheat)
Lineage: Eukaryota; Viridiplantae; Streptophyta; Magnoliopsida; Poales; Poaceae
Exons: 2
Source: RefSeq, a predicted model, not a curated record